UCAGGGACAGGACAGUCAGUGACAGUCACCAUGGGCACUGCCCACCGCUGGGGCAUCCUUGCAUGGGGACAGGGACAGUGAGGGACAGUCACCAUGGGCACUGCCCGCCGCCGGGGCAUCCCUGGGACAGGGACAGUCACCAUGGGCACUGCCUGGGCAUCCCUGGGACAGGGACAGGACAGUGACAGUCACCAUGGGCACUGCCCACCGCCGGGGCAUCCCUGGGACAGGGACACUCAGGGAGGGUCAGGGACACUCAGGGACACCCAGGGACACUCAGGGACACCCAGGGAGGGUCAGGGACACUCAGGGACACUCAGGGACAGCCACCACGGGCACCACUGCAGGGAUGGGACACUCAGAGACAGGACGAGGCACCGCCACCCGUCACAGCCCCACCUCAUUUUGGGAUCACCCGCCCCGAACCGGCUCGGAAAGCUCCCGGUGCCGGUUUCGCUUUCACUCCAUUCCCGGCGGGAAUCCCGCCGCGAUCCAGGGAUGAACCGGCACCGGGGAGCGCGGCUCAGCCCCCGGAACCUCCUCCGGGACAUCCCAAAGCUCACCCGCAGCUCCCGGCGGGCACCGGCGGCUCCGGGACCACGGGAUCCCGGCGUUAACCGGGACAGGGCACGCCUGGGCGGUGUCCCUGGAAUUGAGCAGGAAACGAGGGGAUGAAGCCCGAGGGGAUAAUUAAAUAAUUAUUAGGGGAUAUUAAACAAUUAGCCGACACCAAAUCCCGGCUCCCGGAUUCCUCAGGAAACAUCCCAGUGCAGCCAGUGGGGUGGGGAAGGGAAACCGGGAUGGGGAGAGCGGCUGGGAACUGGAGAAAGGGAACCGGGAACCGCGGGCACCGGGAAAGGAUCCCCGGGAUGGGGAAAAGACCCCCGGGAACGGGAAAAGACCCCUGGGAUGGGGAAAAGAGCUUUUCAGGACCUGGAAAAGGUCCUUGGAGGCUGGGAAAAGAGCCUGGGAAAUGGGAAAAGAGCCCCGGGAAAUGGGAAAAUAGCACGGGAAAUGGGAAAGGAGCCCCGGGAAAUGGGAAAAGAGCCCCGGGAAAUGGGAAAGGAGCACCGGGAAAUGGGAAAGGAGCCCCGGGAAAUGGGGAAAGAGCCCCGGGAAAUGGGAAAAGAGCCCCGGGAAAUGGGGAAAGAGCCCUGGGAAAUGGGAAAGGAGCCCGGGAAAUGGGAAAAGAGCCCCGGGAAAUGGGAAAAGAGCCCCGGGAAAUGGGAAAGGAGCCCUGGGAAACGGGAAAAGAGCCCCGGGAAAUGGGAAAAGUCCCUCCGGGAAGCAGCUGAGGCACCGAGCGGAGGGAAGGGGAAGAGCUCUGGAACACGGGAUCACGGUGCCCGGGCACGGUGAGUAACCAGGGCAGGGCAGGGCGGGGCUGUGUCCCCCUGUCACUGUCACCAGGGCACGGCUUCCAGGGCACUCCCACAGACAGCGGCGGGACAGCGGGGUGGGACACGGGAUGGGACACGGGGAUGGGACACGGGGAUGGGACAGGGGGAUGGGACACGGGGAUGGGACACGGGGAUGGGACACGGGGAUGGGAUAUUGGGAUGGGAUAUUGGGAUGGGAUAUUGGGAUGGGAUAUCGGGAUGGGACACGGGGAUGGGAUAUUGGGAUGGGACAGGGGGAUGGGACAGGGGGAUGGGAUAUCGGGAUGGGAUAUUGG
This is a long non-coding RNA of Cyanistes caeruleus (blue tit), 1675 nucleotides long. Lineage: Eukaryota; Metazoa; Chordata; Aves; Passeriformes; Paridae. The record is from Ensembl.